GUCCUUAGUUACCAGCACGGUUAUGGUGGGCACUCUAAGGAGGACUGCCGGUGACAAACCGGAGGAAGGUGGGGAGUGACGUCAAGUCAUCAUGGCCCUUACGGCCUGGGCUACACACGUGCUACAAUGGUCGGUACAAAGGGUUGCCAAGCCGCGAGGUGGAGCUAAUCCCAUAAAACCGAUCGUAGUCCGGAUCGCAGUCUGCAACUCGACUGCGUGAAGUCGGAAUCGCUAGUAAUCGUGAAUCAGAAUGUCACGGUGAAUACGUUCCCGGGCCUU
Molecule: ribosomal RNA, 279 nt
Filed under: uncultured Pseudomonas sp.
Lineage: Bacteria; Pseudomonadati; Pseudomonadota; Gammaproteobacteria; Pseudomonadales; Pseudomonadaceae
Description: partial 16S ribosomal RNA
Rfam family: Bacterial small subunit ribosomal RNA
Source: RNAcentral